GUUAACGGCGUUUGGAAUCUUUUAGGGAGUUUCAAAGCGGUGCCUACUAAAUAAAAGGAGAUCUCUUUGCUCUAUGUUGUUUUUGGUACAAGGGCUUCAAGAUUUUUGAGAGAUUCUUCUCACGGAACAUGAAUCUGUAUCAUUACGCUACGGAUCAAUGCUAUUUUGUGUCGGACGAGUCGGGACACAUUUGACCAAGGAGAUUGUGAGGAAGAUCUAAAUGUUGGUUACAGAUAUCCUGCCAUCAAACCACAGGAUGAUCUUAAGAAUUGUAGCUAGAGAAGAGUUUGACCGUGGCUGGUAUGACCAUUUGAAGAAUUUAUCUUCAUUGGAAGUGUUAAAGAUCUUCGCGUCCACGGAACUUGAAGAUAGGUCCAAAUCCUUUCACUCUUUGAGACUUUCUGUAUGUUUACGGCAAUUAUCUCACUUGACUUUCUCCUUGACACCAAUAGCAACAACUUUCAACACCCUUGCGUCUCAAACAAAGAACAUUACUCGGUGGUACAAGAAUCUGUCAAUAACUCUGCGUUGAAUCAGUUGAUGCAAAUUAAGGAGCUUUAUGGUUAUGAUCAGAAUAACAUGUGAUGUCACCAACAUCAACGUUCUAGAGAUCAUUGUCUCCCCAAACACAGUUUCAGAUGACUUCUGUUGUGAUUUUCCUUAUAUAGAAACACCAGCUUCUCUCAAGAUAUUUUCCAGACAUGUUUUCAAACUACAUUCUUUCUGACAACUCGUGAUUUCUCUAAAACAAAAACAAGCAAACUGUCCACAAUUCGGAGAAAAAUAAAACUACCUCAUCAAUGGUGAAGUAGCUUAUUAAAGAGAGUGAAUCUACGGAGCCAGAAAAUGAUACCCUUUUGCUUUUGGUCUCCACAACAAACUUGCGUAGGGAAGACGGAUUGAUGAUCGGAUCGGUCAGGUAUUGUGAAGGAUACUAUCGGUGAUUGUCUUCAGGAUAUGGCUACAUU
This is a long non-coding RNA of Arabidopsis lyrata subsp. lyrata, 968 nucleotides long. RefSeq lists it as uncharacterized. The transcript is spliced from 3 exons. The record is from RefSeq and is a predicted model, not a curated record. Lineage: Eukaryota; Viridiplantae; Streptophyta; Magnoliopsida; Brassicales; Brassicaceae.